This 496-nucleotide ribosomal RNA is filed under the name uncultured bacterium. Its description in RNAcentral is "bacterial SSU rRNA". It matches the Rfam family "Bacterial small subunit ribosomal RNA", at positions 29 to 521 of the family's 1533-position model. The record is from RNAcentral.
AUUGAACGCUGGCGGCGUGCCUAACACAUGCAAGUCGAGCGGCAGCGCGGGAGCAAUCCUGGCGGCGAGCGGCGGACGGGUGAGUAACGCUUGGGAAUCUGCCUGUUAGUGGGGGACAACCCGGGGAAACUCGGGCUAAUACCGCAUACGCACUACGGUGGAAAGCCGGGGACCGCAAGGCCUGGCGCUAACAGAUGAGCCCAAGUCGGAUUAGCUAGUUGGUAGGGUAACGGCCUACCAAGGCGACGAUCCGUAACUGGUCUGAGAGGACGACCAGUCACACCGGAACUGAGACACGGUCCGGACUCCUACGGGAGGCAGCAGUGGGGAAUAUUGGACAAUGGGGGAAACCCUGAUCCAGCGACGCCGCGUGGGUGAAGAAGGCCUGCGGGUUGUAAAGCCCUUUCAGUGGGGAAGAAAGCCUCGACCUAAUACGUUGGGUCUUGACGUAACCAUAGAAGAAGCACCGGCUAACUCUGUGCCAGCCGCCGACGGU